Pogoniulus pusillus (Red-fronted tinkerbird) is the source of this 415-nucleotide long non-coding RNA. RefSeq lists it as uncharacterized. The transcript has 3 exons. NCBI's taxonomy places the organism in Eukaryota, Metazoa, Chordata, Aves, Piciformes, Lybiidae. The record is from RefSeq and is a predicted model, not a curated record.
GCAAUUCUAAACCAGUGGAGGACACAAAACCACUAAGAGAGGGAGCUUCAGAAACAGGAGACUUGCCAGGCAAGAAGCACACACUGCUCAGGCACAGGUCUGCCAGGACCUCUCCUAUUGCCACAAAGCUUCCUGAAAAGCUGAGGAAGAAACUAACAAUCUUUCUGAAAAAUUACCAGAAGUAAUUUUCUCUUAUAAUAAAUCAAGUCUAUGAUACUGGAAGAAAUUUUGCUUACAAAGAGAGCUCAUGCUUAAAAAGGUAACCUCAGUUUCACUGAAUACAAGCAUUUGAUGGGACAUGGAUCCCCUAUAUAAAGAUAUCACAGCUGAUAGUAAUGUUUUGGACCAUGAACAGUCUGGAACAGGACAGCAUUUACAGGUGUGGAAAUGACCUUGUGAAAAAAACCUGCAAAAA